UGUCAUCACUGGCAACACACACUGGUCA
This 28-nucleotide small RNA is filed under the name Bombyx mori (domestic silkworm). Its description in RNAcentral is "ovarian small RNA-35626". Lineage: Eukaryota; Metazoa; Arthropoda; Insecta; Lepidoptera; Bombycidae. The record is from RNAcentral.